RNAcentral lists this non-coding RNA (888 nucleotides) under Citrobacter youngae. RNAcentral describes it as "antisense RNA of rseC mRNA". It matches the Rfam family "antisense RNA of rseC mRNA". The record is from RNAcentral. Lineage: Bacteria; Pseudomonadati; Pseudomonadota; Gammaproteobacteria; Enterobacterales; Enterobacteriaceae.
CCUGCGCUUCCAUUUCACGGUCAGACAGGCCACCGCAGAUCUGGAUAAUACGGUCAGACAGCGUCGAUUUACCGUGGUCGAUGUGAGCUAUGAUUGAAAAGUUACGUAUGUUCUUCAUAUAGUGUAAUUAUUGUGCCUUACGCCUGCCUGGGCAGGCUCUGAGAAGUCGCUGUUCUGAGCUUAACGUCUGUUUUAGUGAAACGCCGCAUUCUACACUACAUCGCUGAGGCGAGGAAAUGUUCAUAGAGCAAGGAUAGCGGGAACUGGAAACAACUUUGCAAAGUCAGUGAAACUUUUGCCGGAUGGCGGCAUAAACGCCUUAUCCGGCCUACCUCUGCAUCUGAGGACGCUGUCGGCCUGAUAAGCGCAGCGCCAUCAGGCAAAGAUAUCACUGCUGGGUUUCAACACGAAUCAGAUCAGGCGGGAGAGCUACGUUGAGAAUAACCGGUUGCCAGGCUUUGCGCUCAGCAAGCUUACGGGAAUAUCCUCGCGCAAUCAGGAAUCCCCCCACGCCGCCCAGUAUCGCCCCGCUGAGUGCGGCGAUAUCACUGCCAAACAGCACCUGAAACAGCGCAGCAAAAAUAAAGAGUCCCGCCAGCGGAGACAUAUAAACCAGCAUCGCCGAGCCUAACAGGCUCCCUUCGGCAAUACCCAGUUCAACUUUCUGCCCUGGCGUCAGCGGUUCAUCGCUGGGUACCACGAUAGUAUGCGUUGUUUGCGGCCCCAGUUUGUUCAGCACACGACUGCCGCAUCCAGCCCGCGAGGCGCAGCUGCUACACGAUGCUUUAACAUCGCAGCUGACCGUUGCCAGACCAUUUUGCCAGAAAACAACCGUUGCCCAUUCUUUAAUCAUUGCGCGGCCCUGAACUUGAUAUUGUCUGCAAUACG